Molecule: ribosomal RNA, 468 nt
Filed under: uncultured bacterium
Lineage: Bacteria
Description: partial 16S ribosomal RNA
Rfam family: Bacterial small subunit ribosomal RNA
Source: RNAcentral
GACGAACGCUGGCGGCGUGCUUAACACAUGCAAGUCGAACGGAAAGGCCCUGCUUUUGUGGGGUGCUCGAGUGGCGAACGGGUGAGUAACACGUGAGUAACCUGCCCUUGACUUUGGGAUAACUUCAGGAAACUGGGGCUAAUACCGGAUAGGAGCUCCUGCUGCAUGGUGGGGGUUGGAAAGUUUCGGCGGUUGGGGAUGGACUCGCGGCUUAUCAGCUUGUUGGUGGGGUAGUGGCUUACCAAGGCUUUGACGGGUAGCCGGCCUGAGAGGGUGACCGGCGAGGGGGGGACGGAGAAACGCGCACGAGUCAUAGGGGAGGCAGAGGGGGGGAAUAAUGAACAAAGGGCGGAAGCCUGAUGCAGCAACGCGGCGUGCGAGAUGAGUGCCAUCGGGUUGUUAACGGCUUGCGCCUGUGACGAAGCGUGAGAGAGGGUGAUGUGUAGAGAGGCAGGGGCAAAAUACGUA